CCUACGGGAGGCAGCAGUGGGGAAUUUUGGACAAUGGGCGCAAGCCUGAUCCAGCAAUGCCGCGUGAGUGAAGAAGGCCUUCGGGUUGUAAAGCUCUUUUGUCAGGGAAGAAACGGUGGGAGCUAAUAUCUCCCGCUAAUGACGGUACCUGAAGAAUAAGCACCGGCUAACUACGUGCCAGCAGCCGCGGUAAUACGUAGGGUGCAAGCGUUAAUCGGAAUUACUGGGCGUAAAGCGUGCGCAGGCGGUUUUGUAAGUCUGUCGUGAAAGCCCCGGGCUCAACCUGGGAAUUGCGAUGGAGACUGCAAGGCUUGAAUCUGGCAGAGGGGGGUAGAAUUCCACGUGUAGCAGUGAAAUGCGUAGAGAUGUGGAGGAACACCGAUGGCGAAGGCAGCCCCCUGGGUCAAGAUUGACGCUCAUGCACGAAAGCGUGGGGAGCAAACAGGAUUAGAUACCCUGGUAGUCCACGCCCUAAACGAUGUCUACUAGUUGUCGGUUUUAAUAGUCUUAGGUAACGCAGCUACGCGUGAGUAGACCGCCGUCGGGAGGUACGGUCGGUCGAGAGUUAAACGUACGAAGAAGUUAGAGGCGNGAGACGNGCGACGGACGACGACGAGGGAGGAGG
Molecule: ribosomal RNA, 625 nt
Filed under: uncultured bacterium
Lineage: Bacteria
Description: bacterial SSU rRNA
Rfam family: Bacterial small subunit ribosomal RNA (bases 1-540)
Source: RNAcentral